CCUGGCGGCAAUAGCGCGGUGGUCCCACCUGACCCCAUGCCGAACUCAGAAGUGAAACGCCGUAGCGCCGAUGGUAGUGU
Molecule: ribosomal RNA, 80 nt
Filed under: Serratia marcescens
Lineage: Bacteria; Pseudomonadati; Pseudomonadota; Gammaproteobacteria; Enterobacterales; Yersiniaceae
Also listed under: 1 other name
Source: RNAcentral